This 30-nucleotide non-coding RNA is filed under the name Mus musculus (house mouse). Lineage: Eukaryota; Metazoa; Chordata; Mammalia; Rodentia; Muridae. The record is from RNAcentral.
UAGGAUCCCAUUGUACAUGGACUAACGUGU